Molecule: transfer RNA, 72 nt
Filed under: Minisyncoccota bacterium
Lineage: Bacteria; Bacillati; Minisyncoccota
Description: tRNA-Glu
Rfam family: tRNA
About the family: Transfer RNA (tRNA) molecules are approximately 80 nucleotides in length. Their secondary structure includes four short double-helical elements and three loops (D, anti-codon, and T loops).
Source: RNAcentral
GGCCCUAUCGUCUAACGGUUAGGACAGAUCCUUCUCAAGGAUUAAAUCGGGGUUCGAUUCCCCGUAGGGCUG